GAUGGACAUUGCAAAGAGUGGCGAACGGGUGAGUAACACGUGGGAAACCUACCUCUUUUGGAGCAGGGGAUAACAUUUGGAAACAGAUGCUAAUACCGUAUAACAAUAGCAACCGCAUGGUUGCUACUUAAAAGAUGGUUCUGCUAUCACUAAGAGAUGGUCCCGCGGUGCAUUAGUUAGUUGGUGAGGUAAUGGCUCACCAAGACGAUGAUGCAUAGCCGAGUUGAGAGACUGAUCGGCCACAAUGGGACUGAGACACGGCCCAUACUCCUACGGGAGGCAGCAGUAGGGAAUCUUCCACAAUGGGCGAAAGCCUGAUGGAGCAACGCCGCGUGUGUGAUGAAGGGUUUCGGCUCGUAAAACACUGUUGUAAGAGAAGAAUGACAUUGAGAGUAACUGUUCAAUGUGUGACGGUAUCUUACCAGAAAGGAACGGCUAAAUACGUGCCAGCAGCCGCGGUAAUACGUAUGUUCCAAGCGUUAUCCGGAUUUAUUGGGCGUAAAGCGAGCGCAGACGGUUAUUUAAGUCUGAAGUGAAAGCCCUCAGCUCAACUGAGGAAUUGCUUUGGAAACUGGAUGACUUGAGUGCAGUAGAGGAAAGUGGAACUCCAUGUGUAGCGGUGAAAUGCGUAGAUAUAUGGAAGAACACCAGUGGCGAAGGCGGCUUUCUGGACUGUAACUGACGUUGAGGCUCGAAAGUGUGGGUAGCAAACAGGAUUAGAUACCCUGGUAGUCCACACCGUAAACGAUGAGUGCUAGGUGUUUGAGGGUUUCCGCCCUUAAGUGCCGCAGCUAACGCAUUAAGCACUCCGCCCGGGGAGUACGACCGCAAGGUUGAAACUCAAAGGAAUUGACGGGGACCCGCACAAGCGGUGGAGCAUGUGGUUUAAUUCGAAGCAACGCGAAAAACCUUACCAGGUCUUGACAUCCCUUGACAACUCCCGAAGAUGGAACGUUCCCUUCGGGGAACAAGGUGAACAGGUGGUGCAAGGGUUGUCCUCAACCUCCGGUCCUGAGAAUGUGGGGUUAAUUCCCGCCACCAACGCCCACCCCUUUUAAAAAAUUUUCCCCCAUUUUUUUUUUGGGCCCCUUUUGAAAAAAGCCCCGGGAACAAACCCCAAAAAAAAGGGGGGGGAAAGCUCCAAAUUUUUCUCCC
This 1155-nucleotide ribosomal RNA is filed under the name Weissella sp. RNAcentral's name for it is "bacterial SSU rRNA". It matches the Rfam family "Bacterial small subunit ribosomal RNA", at positions 76 to 1200 of the family's 1533-position model. The record is from RNAcentral. Lineage: Bacteria; Bacillati; Bacillota; Bacilli; Lactobacillales; Lactobacillaceae.